This 697-nucleotide ribosomal RNA is filed under the name Pantoea agglomerans. Its description in RNAcentral is "bacterial SSU rRNA". It matches the Rfam family "Bacterial small subunit ribosomal RNA", at positions 787 to 1484 of the family's 1533-position model. The record is from RNAcentral. Lineage: Bacteria; Pseudomonadati; Pseudomonadota; Gammaproteobacteria; Enterobacterales; Erwiniaceae.
CUGGUAGUCCACGCCGUAAACGAUGUCGACUUGGAGGUUGUUCCCUUGAGGAGUGGCUUCCGGAGCUAACGCGUUAAGUCGACCGCCUGGGGAGUACGGCCGCAAGGUUAAAACUCAAAUGAAUUGACGGGGGCCCGCACAAGCGGUGGAGCAUGUGGUUUAAUUCGAUGCAACGCGAAGAACCUUACCUACUCUUGACAUCCAGCGAACUUAGCAGAGAUGCUUUGGUGCCUUCGGGAACGCUGAGACAGGUGCUGCAUGGCUGUCGUCAGCUCGUGUUGUGAAAUGUUGGGUUAAGUCCCGCAACGAGCGCAACCCUUAUCCUUUGUUGCCAGCGAUUCGGUCGGGAACUCAAAGGAGACUGCCGGUGAUAAACCGGAGGAAGGUGGGGAUGACGUCAAGUCAUCAUGGCCCUUACGAGUAGGGCUACACACGUGCUACAAUGGCGCAUACAAAGAGAAGCGACCUCGCGAGAGCAAGCGGACCUCACAAAGUGCGUCGUAGUCCGGAUCGGAGUCUGCAACUCGACUCCGUGAAGUCGGAAUCGCUAGUAAUCGUGGAUCAGAAUGCCACGGUGAAUACGUUCCCGGGCCUUGUACACACCGCCCGUCACACCAUGGGAGUGGGUUGCAAAAGAAGUAGGUAGCUUAACCUUCGGGAGGGCGCUUACCACUUUGUGAUUCAUGACUGGGGUGAA